Long non-coding RNA from Trichechus manatus latirostris (Florida manatee), 325 nucleotides. RefSeq lists it as uncharacterized. The record is from RefSeq and is a predicted model, not a curated record. Lineage: Eukaryota; Metazoa; Chordata; Mammalia; Sirenia; Trichechidae. The transcript has 4 exons.
UUGCUGACCCUCUACUUUAUCAAGCAUAAUGUCCUUCUCCAGGAACAAGUUUAGGAGAGAAUUUGUAUUUUUCUACCCAGAGCACAGUGAAGCGAGACAAGGUUUCUUGUUGUCUCCCUCGCUCAGAAUGAAGCAAUUCUGAGACUACAGACUGACCCAAAAUCUGAACGACAAUGAUCAUGCUUACCUGGUGAAUUAAGGAGUCUACGCAAGGAGGCAAUGCCAUCAAGUUGGCAGAAAACGUUUCUGUUUCCACUGCAGAGUGACCAACAGGCCUGAGGGGUCACUUGGAACCCCGCCCCGCCUUGCCAUUGAGGAAAGAACU